This 628-nucleotide long non-coding RNA is filed under the name Oryctolagus cuniculus (rabbit). RNAcentral's name for it is "lncRNA (ENSOCUG00000032750.1)". Lineage: Eukaryota; Metazoa; Chordata; Mammalia; Lagomorpha; Leporidae. The record is from RNAcentral.
CUAAUCUUAUCAUGAGUAAUGAACAAUGAGAGAAAUUGGUUAAUGGUCUUCUAUUGGAUUCAUUAAGGGAAAUAGUUUCAUCUCUAUCUGAUAGUUUAGCCAUUGUCCUACUUGAAAUUUGAAAUAAGCUGAGUGAAAUCUCCUUCAGCACAGUACAGUGAUUGUAUGGCUGUAUAUAUCACUGUUUUAGAUAACUAAAUAAAUAUAAAACUCCAAGGAACCCUGAAGCAGAAUUUCAGUAGCUGGGGCCUGAGAAUCAUUGAUGAUAUCAUGAUGCAUUGGUGAUUGUGAUGCAUAGGUUCUGAACGCACUAAUAUCCAUCAACAGCAUGUGCCCUGCCCCUGACAACUUGCAAUAGUUAAACGUUUUCAAGAACAAUGCUGCGCUGCUCAUUGAAAAGAUAUCCACAGGUACUAAACUUCAGAAGACAAAUAGUUGAUAAUGACUUGGAAAACUCUGAAGCCUGAAGUAACCUACCACCUCACUCACAGAUAAAAUAUGGUGACCUCUUCCACAUGUGUUCUCACCAUUGUGAUGCCAUCCACCAUAAGACAUUCACUAGAGCUGAGCAGAUUCCUGCACCAUGAAAUGUAAGCUAAAUAAACCUCUUUUCUUUACAAAUUACUCA